UUGGGACUCUAGCACAUAGUCAGCAUGUGGGUGCAUGGCUCACGGACGGUAUGCACCGAGUGUGCAAAGCCAGGUGCACUGCUCUGACGAGUGACAGAGCACACGUGCGUGCCUACUAAACAGACCACAGGGAAGCCAGGACCUGGCACUUAGACCCAAUUGCAGGUCUCCGUCAGCCCCCACAGCUCUUCUUCUUUGCUAAGUGUGCCCUGUCCUGCCCCGCCUUUGAAGGCAGCCUGCAGAGAAGCUGAAUCCUCAUCCACAGAGCCCCAUCGAGGAGAGGAUGUGUAAGUGGGGAGACCUUACCCUGACGGUCUGUAAGAACACCCACAUCAGUAGCGAAGGGAAAAACAGGAAGCCAGAGCCAGGGCAGGGACAGCGGUGCCCGGCACUCAGCACGCGCCCUGUGACAGCAGCCUGUGGCCCACCUGUGACAGCAGCCCUGGAUUCUGGCAGAGCGUCUACGAAGUGACCUGGGUAUCGACUCUAAACCUCAUUAAAUAGCUUCCAGCUCCUGCCCAGGGUGACUGGAGCCGGGCUAAUCCAGGGCUGGCACCUAAGCAGAUAAAUGUCCUCAGCAGACAUCCCCGAGGGGCCCAGAUGCGGCGUCCUCCUCACCCCAGCACCACAGGCCCAGAGGGCAGGUGGGGUAUAAGUACUUUAUAGGAUUAAUCGGCGUGAGACUCAUCCCCCUCAUCCUCACCAGUGUCGGGUGUCAGAGAGAAAUGCUAUCUCAGCAUGAGGGAAUCGCGGCUAACGAGGCAGGCGCUGUCUGCAGUGGCUUCAGAGCGGCUCUGACGAGCAUCUCCUGGUUAGGAGGGUUUGUUAGAGGACCAAAGGCGGAUGGACAGGCGGAUCAGUGGAGACAAGUGGACAGACAGGCGGAUCCAACACUCGGAGAGGAA
Long non-coding RNA from Mus musculus (house mouse), 905 nucleotides. RefSeq annotates it as predicted gene, 47252. The record is from RefSeq and is a predicted model, not a curated record. The transcript has 3 exons. NCBI's taxonomy places the organism in Eukaryota, Metazoa, Chordata, Mammalia, Rodentia, Muridae.